Molecule: ribosomal RNA, 255 nt
Filed under: uncultured bacterium
Lineage: Bacteria
Description: partial 16S ribosomal RNA
Rfam family: Bacterial small subunit ribosomal RNA
Source: RNAcentral
GACAGAGGAUGCAAGCGUUAUCCGGAAUUACUGGGCGUAAAGCGUGCGCAGGCGGUUUUGUAAGUCUGACGUGAAAUCCCCGGGCUCAACCUGGGAAUUGCGUUGGAGACUGCAAGGCUGGAAUCUGGCAGAGGGGGGUAGAAUUCCACGUGUAGCAGGUGAAAUGCGUAGAGAUGAUGGAGGAAUACCGAAUGGCGAGGCAGCCUCCUGGGCCAACACUGACGCUCAUGCACGAAAGCGUGGGGAGCAAACAGG